AGUGAACGCUGGCGGUAGGCCUAACACAUGCAAGUCGAACGGCAGCACAGUAAGAGCUUGCUCUUACGGGUGGCGAGUGGCGGACGGGUGAGGAAUACAUCGGAAUCUACUUUUUCGUGGGGGAUAACGUAGGGAAACUUACGCUAAUACCGCAUACGACCUACGGGUGAAAGCAGGGGAUCUUCGGACCUUGCGCGAUUGAAUGAGCCGAUGUCGGAUUAGCUAGUUGGCGGGGUAAAGGCCCACCAAGGCGACGAUCCGUAGCUGGUCUGAGAGGAUGAUCAGCCACACUGGAACUGAGACACGGUCCAGACUCCUACGGGGGGCAGCAGUGGGGAAUAUUGGACAAUGGGCGCAAGCCUGAUCCAGCCAUACUGCGUGGGUGAAGAAGGCCUUCGGGUUGUAAAGCCCUUUUGUUGGGAAAGAAAAGCAGCAGGUUAAUACCCCGCUGUUCUGACGGUACCCAAAGAAUAAGUACCGGCUAACUUCGUG
RNAcentral lists this ribosomal RNA (492 nucleotides) under uncultured bacterium. Its description in RNAcentral is "partial 16S ribosomal RNA". It matches the Rfam family "Bacterial small subunit ribosomal RNA", at positions 29 to 507 of the family's 1533-position model. The record is from RNAcentral.